GUUUAAGGUAACCAGUUUGUAGAGUCAUGCCAUGCACGUAAUUUAAGCUGAUAUCUUUCAUUAACAUUGUUCAAUUGCAAAUGGAUACCGCUGGCACUCGCUAACUUUUAAGUUUAAAAUGUUCAACCAACCCGCAACCAGAAAAUAGAGGUGAAUUGAUCUGAAAAAGAAUGCCGUCCAGAAUGCAGCAUUCUCAAAAUAUGGUUGCUAAAAUAUGGACUUAUGAUCUACGGCAGUGAAUGUGAUGAAGAGUAGUGGAAAUAUUUUCUUCUCAAGAUGAACUACAUUCUGACGUCAUGAGAUAAUAAUACAACAGUUCUGUUCGCCCUCUCCGAUCCCUUUGGCCCGGCUAGGUUAUAAAUGGUAGUACAGUGUAUGGCGACACAUUCUGGCGGUAUUGGAAUACUCCAACAGUUCUUGCUGUCUCCCUCUUGGGUUUAUACAACCCCCGGAAGUACAGAGAAAAGAGCAUACACAGUGUGGAAUCUCGAAUCUCGAUAGCCUCUUAAGAGGACGUAAAAGCAACUCUGAUCUUGGAGGCUGGAAUUUCAACAAUUUCAGAUGUCGAAGGUAAUGGAUAGCAGCGUCUAGAAAUGCCCACUGUACAACUGAGAAGUGCUCCUUUGUUGCCCUCCUUCUCCAGACACUACAUGUCAAUAGUCCGAACAAAAAGUUUUAAUAUAAGUAACUGCUAAGGAGGGAUUGUCGUUGAGAAAGGCAUUUAAAAGACCAAUCCAGAGCUUUCUGCCUUCAAAAUGUUUUUUUCACAGCAGACCAUCAAGUUUUACAACAGAUAGAAACAGAAUCCUUAACAAACUGUGCCCAGCCCAAAACCUACCAAAUCAGACUGAUUAAAGCUGCUCAUAUCUGCUAUAGCAUCAAUUAAAAAUCAAUGUUAUAGCUGAAUACAGCGACGACUCCGAACUAAUCGAUGAAGAUGCGAUGCUGGUCGCUUCUUGUAUUAUUAUUAAAAAUAAUCUGAGACAGACAAUGUUAUUACUAUAAUAUUGUAGCAUAACGACGCUUUGCGUAUAGCUGCUUUCCCAUUUCUAAUUAUGCAUUUCAUCCUAUAGUACAACUUGUAAUAUGAUUAACUAAUCAAUAUUAACCUAACACUAGAGAAGCUUUUUGAUGAAAAUAGUAAACAACUUGUUUCAGUUCAAACUAAAUUAAAGGUCAGACCGGGAUUCGAACCCUCAGCUAGCACGGUCAAUCGCCCUCUUAGUGCUUAGCCAACUAGGCUAUGGUGCCGGCGGUCGAAAAUCAAUGUUAACUAUCAUAUUGUCGUGCUCGCGCAUUCCCUACGCAAAGUUAUUCUCCGACGAUGUAUAUUUUUAGCCAUUUUGGGGCUAUUGCGCGGCGCGGAAGUUUUAAACCGUCAUAACUCUGUCCAGGAACAGUCUCCAGAACUAAUUAAACUUGUGAUUUCCUAGUCAGAGGAUGUACUUUACGAAGAUAUAUGAUUUGUCAUACCUACGUCCACACAGUGGAAUCACAAAUGGGUAUAGUCGCGAACGCUAAGAAACCGCAGG
Long non-coding RNA from Bolinopsis microptera, 1532 nucleotides. RefSeq lists it as uncharacterized. NCBI's taxonomy places the organism in Eukaryota, Metazoa, Ctenophora, Tentaculata, Lobata, Bolinopsidae. The record is from RefSeq and is a predicted model, not a curated record. The transcript is spliced from 6 exons.